Molecule: transfer RNA, 64 nt
Filed under: Engaeus lengana
Lineage: Eukaryota; Metazoa; Arthropoda; Malacostraca; Decapoda; Parastacidae
Description: tRNA-Glu
Source: RNAcentral
CUUUUUUAUGGUGUAAAACACAUUACAUUUUCACUGUAAAGCUGAAGGAAAUUCUUCUAAAUAA